Molecule: ribosomal RNA, 253 nt
Filed under: uncultured bacterium
Lineage: Bacteria
Description: partial 16S ribosomal RNA
Rfam family: Bacterial small subunit ribosomal RNA
Source: RNAcentral
UACGGAGGGUGCAAGCGUUAAUCGGAAUUACUGGGCGUAAAGCGCACGUAGGCGGCUUUGCAAGUCAGGUGUGAAAGCCCACGGCUCAACCGUGGAACUGCACUUGAAACUGCUUGGCUUGAGUCCGAGAGAGGGUGGCGGAAUUCCGGGUGUAGGAGUGAAAUCCGUAGAUAUCCGGAGGAACACCAGUGGCGAAGGCGGCCAUCUGGCCUAAUACUGACGCUGAGGUACGAAAGCAUGGGGAGCAAACAGG